RNAcentral lists this long non-coding RNA (1421 nucleotides) under Calidris pugnax (ruff). RNAcentral describes it as "lncRNA (ENSCPUG00000018949.1)". The record is from RNAcentral. Lineage: Eukaryota; Metazoa; Chordata; Aves; Charadriiformes; Scolopacidae.
GAGGUCAGCUUUUCAAAACUGAUCUUUCGUCAUCUUUCAUCCAGAGUUAGCAUCCUCACAUCAAUUUCAGUGCAGGGAAGCUCCUGUCUCUGAGCUGUUUGUGCAUCUUUCUCUGAAGUCCCUGGUCCAGGCCACACAAGCACCUGGGCUGAUGGAAGCUGGAAUUGCCCAUGUUUCUACGUCAAACAUCUCAGAAGAACUCAGGUCCUCCAGAAAGGAAGCCCACAGCCUUCAGAAGGUGAGGAGGAUGCCUCUGGUUAAGCUCACAGGGAGGAAUAAAAAAUAAUCCCAUUUUAAUUGUUUUUUUGGUUUUUUUUUAAACUCUGCCCUUCCAAAAAGGUAUGAAACAGAGCAGGAUGUUAAAUGUACAACCUGCGUCAGCAAGGAGCUUGCUCUUAAUCAACCAUCCACCUGAGAUACCUGGGGGCAAGGAAGGAGGAACGUGUUGGGACAGAGCGAAGCCACCGCCGAGGAGAGCGGCCACACAACCUGUGAGCCUUCGGAAGCCACUUGUUAAACGUCUCCCGUUUGAUCCCCAGGGAACAGUGUGCCAGAAACGGGAUGAAAAUGUUACUUCCAAGAAAGUGUCCCCCCCCACCACCACCUCGCCACCUCACCCCAGCAGGUUUCCAGAGAGCAAAUGGACUUUUUGUAGGUCCCACCUUGCCUGGCAUCUCUACAGGACUGAAAAUAACUCAACAGAAGCACUUCUCUGUGGAUCCAUCCUUACCUUUCUCCUGCUCAAAGAAGGUGCAGAAACCAAGACUCAAGCGCCUGAAGGAUUUAUGUUGGAACUAGAUCCCUAUGGAUCAGAACACGAAUAACACCUCCAUCCCCUCCCACAUCUUCCAGGCCUGACCUUUCACAAUCUCCCAUUUCCUGACCAAUGACUCCAAAGAAAAUAGAGCUGCUAGUUGGUAUUUAAUGGAAAUCUGCGCAAAACUUGUCAAAAUACACCGCCAUGCCUGUCAGAUGCCUGGGACAAGACCUCUACAGUAGUUUCCAGAAACCCAGCGCAAUUACUUACAUUUUAAAUUAUCUUUAAUUGUCGCAUGUGAGCUACAGCAACAUUUUUCCCCACUCUCAAGCAAGACCUCGCUAUUAAGAGUCACCCCAUAAUUGCAGCUUUAAUAGGGGCCCGCAGCAGGUCGGCCGCGAAGGUUAGCGCGGGGCGAGAGCGGCUGCCGAGCGCCUGUAAGUGGAAGUGACACAUCACAAUGGUCCCAUCAAUUAUGUAGGGGCAGUUUGGAGUGUAAACUUUUUAGUGAAUCUAAUUACCUCGCCAGAUGUUUUAAUCCAAUCUCUUUGCUCCUCCUCCGCCAUCAAGCGCCACAUUGUUUGGCGAGUUCCUGACAUGAAAAAGUCACCUUAACCAUAGAAUUGAGAAUAAACUUGAAGGUUUUUUGUUUUUGUUUUUUUUU